AAGAUAAGGUACAAACACCUAAGUUUUCUGUAACCAGCCUUGCACAUUACACCUAACUUAAUUCCCUCACCCCGAGAAUAAAAAAAGCCUCCUCCUUCCCCCUCUUUACACAUCAAGCUAGCAAGAGAGAUCAUCAUAAACUUCAAAGAUGAUGAAACGAUCUCUCUUUUCAUUCUCUCUUUUUCUCUUCUUUCUCCAUUUGACCAAAACUCUAGCCCUGUCACCAGCUGCACCUACUUCAUCUCUUGGCCCUGCCAACAUCAUGAAAAUCCUUGAAAAGGCAGCCAAUUUCACAACGUUUAUCCGCCUUAUAAAAGCCACCCAUGUGGAUAUCCAAUUAUCCUCUCAGCUUAAAAGCUCAGGUGACGGCAUAACCAUCCUUGUUCCAAGUGAUAGUGCCUUUUCGAUCCUCAGAGCUGACACUUUAAACUCCCUAGCAGAUAAAGAAAAGGUCGAGCUGGUGCAGUUUCAUGUCCUAACACAAUUUCUGCUAUUAUCCCAGUUUGACACUGUGAGUAACCCUGUAAUGACACUGGCAGGAUCAAGUGGCAGGUUACUACUUAACAUAACAGUCACAGGGAAUGUAGUGAAUAUAACUACAGGAAUUGACUAUGCAACCAUUUCUGACACUAUUUACACAGAUAACCAGGUUGCCAUUUAUCAGAUUGACAAGAUGCUACUUCCUUUCGACCUUUUUGCUCCAGGGCCAGUACCAGCAAAGCCGGCGGAGAGUCCUGAAAAUGAUGUUCCUAAGGAUGCUUCUAGUUCAACGAGUUUGGUUUUGAAUUAUAUUGUGGUGCUCUUUGAACUUUGCAGAGUUGCUGAAAUAGUCCUGUUGUGAAAUUGAAGCUGAAGAGAGUUUCAAAUCUAUAUAUUGGAGUUGGUUAAUUUCUUUGCUGAAUUGGAUUGAAGAAUGGUGAUCAUCAACAGUGUCUUGAAUAAUUGACAAGUUUUAUCAGUUCUUUUUGUAAUUAAUAAAGAAUUCUGAAC
RNAcentral lists this unclassified non-coding RNA (990 nucleotides) under Hevea brasiliensis (rubber tree). The record is from RNAcentral. Lineage: Eukaryota; Viridiplantae; Streptophyta; Magnoliopsida; Malpighiales; Euphorbiaceae.